ACAUGAACACAACGCUAGAAAUGACGAAUAUCCGGAUCAGAAAUGGAAAAUUGUUGCACCCAUAGCAUUGAAUGGAUGGACAAGGCGAGGUCAU
RNAcentral lists this non-coding RNA (94 nucleotides) under Eucampia antarctica. The record is from RNAcentral. Lineage: Eukaryota; Bacillariophyta; Thalassiosirophyceae; Eucampiales; Eucampiaceae.